RNAcentral lists this ribosomal RNA (492 nucleotides) under uncultured bacterium. RNAcentral describes it as "partial 16S ribosomal RNA". It matches the Rfam family "Bacterial small subunit ribosomal RNA", at positions 29 to 507 of the family's 1533-position model. The record is from RNAcentral.
AGUGAACGCUGGCGGUAGGCCUAACACAUGCCAGUCGAACGGCAGCACAGUAAGAGCUUGCUCUUACGGGUGGCGAGUGGCGGACGGGUGAGGAAUACAUCGGAAUCUACUUUUUCGUGGGGGAUAACGUAGGGAAACUUACGCUAAUACCGCAUACGACCUACGGGUGAAAGCAGGGGAUCUUCGGACCUUGCGCGAUUGAAUGAGCCGAUGUCGGAUUAGCUAGUUGGCGGGGUAAAGGCCCACCAAGGCGACGAUCCGUAGCUGGUCUGAGAGGAUGAACAGCCAAACUGGAACUGAGACAAGGUCCAGACUCCUACGGGAGGCAGCAGUGGGGAAUAUUGGACAAUGGGCGCAAGCCUGAUCCAGCCAUACCGCGUGGGUGAAGAAGGCCUUCGGGUUGUAAAGCCCUUUUGUUGGGAAAGAAAAGCAGCAGGUUAAUACCCCGCUGUUCUGACGGUACCCAAAGAAUAAGCACCGGCUAACUUCGUG